AUAGGGAAAUUGGAAAAUAGAUGAGAUCAGGAAAUCGAGAAAUCGAGAAAGCAAAACAUGAAAACGCGAAAACGCGAAAUGAAUUUUCGAUUUUGCGUUUUUGCUUUCUCUAUUUCUCGAUUUCCCAAUUUCUUGAUUUCUCGAUUUCCCAAUUUCAUGAUU
RNAcentral lists this small RNA (162 nucleotides) under Mytilus galloprovincialis (Mediterranean mussel). Lineage: Eukaryota; Metazoa; Mollusca; Bivalvia; Mytilida; Mytilidae. The record is from RNAcentral.